This 77-nucleotide transfer RNA is filed under the name Hirschia baltica ATCC 49814. RNAcentral's name for it is "tRNA-Ile2 (CAT) (tRNA-Ile2-CAT-1-1)". It matches the Rfam family "tRNA". Rfam says of the family: Transfer RNA (tRNA) molecules are approximately 80 nucleotides in length. Their secondary structure includes four short double-helical elements and three loops (D, anti-codon, and T loops). Further hydrogen bonds mediate the characteristic L-shaped molecular structure. tRNAs have two regions of fundamental functional importance: the anti-codon, which is responsible for specific mRNA codon recognition, and the 3' end, to which the tRNAs corresponding amino acid is attached (by aminoacyl-tRNA synthetases). tRNAs cope with the degeneracy of the genetic code in two manners: having more than one tRNA (with a specific anti-codon) for a particular amino acid; and 'wobble' base-pairing, i.e. permitting non-standard base-pairing at the 3rd anti-codon position. RNAcentral also lists the same sequence under 1 other name. The record is from RNAcentral. Lineage: Bacteria; Pseudomonadati; Pseudomonadota; Alphaproteobacteria; Hyphomonadales; Hyphomonadaceae.
GGGCCUGUAGCUCAGUUGGUUAGAGCAAACCGCUCAUAACGGUUUGGUCGGGGGUUCGAUUCCCUCCGGGCCUACCA